This is a non-coding RNA of Mycena leptocephala, 87 nucleotides long. The record is from the annotation of a GenBank genome assembly. NCBI's taxonomy places the organism in Eukaryota, Fungi, Basidiomycota, Agaricomycetes, Agaricales, Mycenaceae.
AGCACCGUAGCACAGUUGGAAGUGCGCCGGUCUCAUAUCGAUAUUUGAGUAAUUCGGAGGUCGCUUGAUCGAAACAAGCCGUUGCUA